CAGGAUGAACUCGCUGUAGUAUUCUUCAAAGAGAUAACUUUACAGGAGGGCCAUUUCACCUAUGAGCAUAACCUCCAGCUGAGGAGCACAUCAGUAGAAAAAAACAAUCUCUUCCUGACACUAUCAGUCCAGAGAAUGGCAAGAAUUAGUAGCUGGUCAUAUGCAGAAUAUUGUAUACUGGACACCACCAGCACAAACCUGCACCACUACCACUGCUCUCAGUUAAGUGAUAAAACGCGGUGGUCCCUAACCUGUGGAUGAAUCCUUAAUCAACAAUUGGACACAAAAUCCACUGGAAGGUCAUAACAUUACUUACAGCAGUAAAACAAAGGACCACAUUUCUAGAGGCACACAGUGCUAUUCCUGAUCCUAACACUUUCAUUCCGGAUUUUUCCAGGCAACCGGAGCACUUGGAAAGCUGAACUAAUUUAUGCAGAGUAAAGCUGCGAGGCUUGUUAUGGGCAAAUUUACUUGAUUUUGCACUGCUGACUUUGAAGUUAAUCUGGAAGAGUAUUGUCUUCAGCUCUCGAAUGCUAAUACUGGAGAUAAAAACGUGAGAAUUGAUCGCUUAGUAUAAACUUCAGUUUCAUCUUCAUCACAUUGCAGGGAAAAGAGAGUGUGGCAGAAGAUAUUGGUUGUUCCCAGGCAGCUGCAUGUAAAUGUGGUGCAUGUUAAAACAAUAUAAGAAGGUUAUAAGAAAAAAAAUAUACAGGUUAAUCAAGGAAGAUAUCAACGUGUCAGGAUGAAAAACCUAAAGCAAACUGAUUUGAAUAUAGAAGAUGUAAAACAAAACAUAUGUAAAAUGCAUCAUUGGAAACAAGAGUCCAUAUUUGUGCCUGAACUGAAAGAAAUUGGCUGAAUGAUAUAAGGUUUACAAAUAGAAAAGUCAAACAACAACCAGCACGAACAUCUAAACAGAACAAAAUAAGGUUGAACAAGAGUGAUUAUAAAGUUGAUUAUUGAUAUUCAGUGAUUAAUAUCUGCACUGAUAUUCCCGACCACCUCAUGAAUAUUCAUAGGACCCCUUCAUCCAUGUGAGUGUGAGGUGGGCGGGGAAUAUCAGUGCAGAGGGGAUCUCGGUAGUGAAGCUUGAUAUACGGGUUCCGGACCUUUUUCCAAACUAGCAAUGUAGGAUAAGGCAACUGGUAUCUCCAGAACCGAACCACGAAUCCAGAUAAGUGAUACCUCACCCCACAUCACGGUGGGAAGCUCUCUAUACCCAGUGACUGCCAUCUGCUUUCUGAUCAUAAAUAAUAUUUGAGUUAUGGAUUACUUCACAUUAGCUCUUUGCAGUUUCCUGAUAUAUUACACUCCAGUUCACAUUAGAUAUUUUACCACUUGUCUCUAUUCAGCUAUCACACACAUACAGAGAUGGCGCUUGGGAACCAGAAUUAAUUCACUUGU
Hyla sarda is the source of this 1404-nucleotide long non-coding RNA. RefSeq lists it as uncharacterized. NCBI's taxonomy places the organism in Eukaryota, Metazoa, Chordata, Amphibia, Anura, Hylidae. The transcript is spliced from 3 exons. The record is from RefSeq and is a predicted model, not a curated record.